RNAcentral lists this long non-coding RNA (1013 nucleotides) under Homo sapiens (human). RNAcentral describes it as "non-protein coding lnc-NYAP2-12:3". Lineage: Eukaryota; Metazoa; Chordata; Mammalia; Primates; Hominidae. The record is from RNAcentral.
ACAGUUAACCAGGGCACGCCCUGAGAAGGGACAGGGUUGGGGCUACAGCCUUGGUAUUGGGAAGGUUCAGUUCUUCACCCUAUAUUGAACUUUCUUAUGAGGUCAAGAUGUGUAGAUGAAGGUUCUGGUCUGAGAUCUUAAAAAGGGAGAAGUCUAAUAUCACCCACACAUUCCUGUCUUCUUUCCUUCAACUGUGCCCUCAUACUGGCUCCUUGAUCUGAGUUAUAUCUAUCCUAUUCAAGUAGGAGCCUCUGAAACUCUCUCUCAAUCCCUGGACAAGAUCAGAAGGAAAAAGGAAGCAUGGCUCCAGAAGAACAAAGAAGACACAAUGGCAAUAAAUUUUUGAAGCUAGAAAUUAGACACAAAAGUGGUAACUCACUUGGCAGCUCAUGGAAAGCACACAUAGGAAGCAAGAUUGAAAGCCUGGAUAGUGUCCUUGAAAUAGCUAAUUCAUCAUGCAGAACCUGAGAUUUUGGAAACAUCAGGUGAUGAUCAAUGUGCAGAUAUGGGAAGGUCCAAAACAAGGAGAAUUGGUUGAAGCAGUUAGAUCUCUAGAUGCCCUCUUCACCCCACAUAGACAAUCAACUACCUGAGCAUUAAUAUAAAACAGGAGAUUUAUUUUCCGGAGGGGAUGAAGCAAAGGGACUCUGAACUGGGAACACCAAGUUGAAAGUGUGAAUCCUAUACUGAAAACAGGAUUAAGUGAUGAAGUGAUGCUCUUCCUGCUAAUGAUGAAAAUGCUAGAACCAGUUUUGGCCAAACAGGUUUAUAAUCCUCUUUUUUUUUUUUCAGAUGGAGUCUCGCUCUGUCACCCAGGCUGGAGUGCAGUGGUGCGAUCUUGGCUUACUGCUCCGCCUCCCGGGUUCGCGCCAUUCUCCUGCCUCAGCCUCUGAAGUAGCUGGGACUACAAGUGCCCACCACAAUGCCUGGCUAACUUUUGUAUUUUUAGUAGAGAUGGGGUUUCACCAUGUUAGCCAGGACGGUCUCGAUCUCCUGACCUCGUGAUCUGCCCG